GCUACCGUGUUGGGAUGAGCUUGCGUACCAUUAGCUAGUUGGUGGGGUAAUGGCCUACCAAGGCAACGAUGGUUAGCGGGUCUGAGAGGAUGAUCCGCCACACUGGAACUGGAACACGGACCAGACUCCUACGGGAGGCAGCAGUGAGGAAUAUUGCGCAAUGGGGGAAACCCUGACGCAGCGACGCCGCGUGGAUGAUGAAGUGCCUUCGGGUUGUAAAAUCCUGUCAGAAGGGAAGAACUGUAAUAACUCUAAUAUAGUUAUUAUUUGACGGUACCUUCAAAGGAAGCACCGGCUAACUCCGUGCCAGCAGCCGCGGUAAUACGGAGGGUGCAAGCGUUGUCGGAAUUACUGGGCGUAAGCGCGCGUANGCGGUU
RNAcentral lists this ribosomal RNA (377 nucleotides) under uncultured bacterium. RNAcentral describes it as "bacterial SSU rRNA". It matches the Rfam family "Bacterial small subunit ribosomal RNA", at positions 211 to 580 of the family's 1533-position model. The record is from RNAcentral.